GCGCGCGUAGCUCAGCGGUAGAGCAUCUGUCUUACACACAGAGGGUCCCUGGUUCGAACCCAGGCGCGCGCA
RNAcentral lists this transfer RNA (72 nucleotides) under bacterium. RNAcentral describes it as "tRNA-Val". It matches the Rfam family "tRNA". From Rfam's summary of the family: Transfer RNA (tRNA) molecules are approximately 80 nucleotides in length. Their secondary structure includes four short double-helical elements and three loops (D, anti-codon, and T loops). Further hydrogen bonds mediate the characteristic L-shaped molecular structure. tRNAs have two regions of fundamental functional importance: the anti-codon, which is responsible for specific mRNA codon recognition, and the 3' end, to which the tRNAs corresponding amino acid is attached (by aminoacyl-tRNA synthetases). tRNAs cope with the degeneracy of the genetic code in two manners: having more than one tRNA (with a specific anti-codon) for a particular amino acid; and 'wobble' base-pairing, i.e. permitting non-standard base-pairing at the 3rd anti-codon position. The record is from RNAcentral.